Molecule: ribosomal RNA, 2930 nt
Filed under: Chloroflexaceae bacterium
Lineage: Bacteria; Bacillati; Chloroflexota; Chloroflexia; Chloroflexales; Chloroflexaceae
Description: 23S ribosomal RNA
Rfam family: Bacterial large subunit ribosomal RNA
Source: RNAcentral
AGAAGACAUGAAGAGCACACGGGGGAUGCCUUGGCAUUGCGUGCCGAAGAAGGACGUGGCAUCGCGACGAUAUGCGUAGGGGAGCGGCGAGCACGCGAUAAUCCUACGAUUUCCGAAUGGGGCAACCCGCUGAAAAGCACCACAUUGUGGAGGGAACCGGGUCAACUGAAACAUCUCAUGUAACCCGAGGAAGAGAGAACGACGCCCGUAGUAGUGGCGAACGAACCGGGCUGGAGCCCAAACUAUCACUGUGUCAAGGGGUCAGCCGUUGUAGUGAUGGGGUUGUAGGGCCGAUGGGCGAGUCUGACUGCUCGCAACGAUAAACAAGAUGCACUGUCAAAGCUUUUGGAAAAUGCUGCCAGAGAACGUGAUAGCCGUGUAGCAGAUGCGUCUGGUCAUCGUCAUUGGUACCUGAGUAGGGCCAGGCACGAAGAACCUGGUCUGAAUCUAGGGGGACCACCCUCUAAGGCAAGAUACACGCAGUGACCGAUAGCGCAUAGUACCGUGAGGGAACGGUGAAAAGAACCCCGGCGAGGGGAGUGAAAUAGAACCUGAAACCGUGUGCUUCCAUGCAGUCGAAGGGCUAGGCCACUUUGUGGCAGGCCUAACGGCGUGCCUUUUGGAGUAUGAUCCGGCGAGUUACCCUCUGUGGCAGGUUAAGGUAGUCAUAACCGGAGCCAUAGUGAAAGCGAGCCUGAAUAGGGCGUUUGUCGCAGGGGGUAGGCCCGAAACCGCGUGAGCUACCCAUGGUCAGGCUGAAGCGUCCCUAACAGGACGUGGAGGGCCGAACCGGUGUCUGUUGCAAAAGGCUCGGAUGAACUGUGGGUAGGGGUGAAAUGCCAAUCGAACGCGGAGAUAGCUGGUUCUCCCCGAAAUGCAUUGAGGUGCAGCCGUGGGCAGACGCUAGCGGAGGUAGAGCACUGUUGUUGUGCGGGGGCUUCACCGCUUACCAAGCGACGGCAAACUCCGAAUGCCGCUAUGCGUACACCACGAGUGAGACGGCGCGUGCCAACAUGCGUCGUCGAGAGGGAAACAACCCAGACCUGCUGCUAAGGUCCCGAAGUUGAUGCUGAGUGGGAAAGGUUGUGUGAUCGCAGAGACAACCAGGAGGUUGGCUUAGAAGCAGCCACCCUUAAAAGAGUGCGUAACAGCUCACUGGUCAAGUGGUCGCGCGCCGACGCUGUAACGGGGCAAAGCAUCACACCGAAGCACAGGAUAGCAAUUGCUAUGGUAGGGGAGCGUUGUAUUGGCGUAGAAGCGUUAGCGUAAGCCGACGUGGAGCUAAUAGAAGUGCGAAUGCCGGAAUGAGUAACAGAGAAGGGGGAUGAGAACCCCCCCCACCGAAAGCCUAAGGUUUCCGCCGCAAGGGUGAUCCGCGGCGGGUUAGUCGGGCCUAAGGCGUAGGCGAAAGCCGAAGCCGAUGGACAACAGGUUCAUAUUCCUGUACCACAUCAUACCGUUUGACUGACGUGGGAUGCUGAGGGGCAGCCGCCGCGGCGAGACGAGCGCCGUCUAAGCUGGUAGGGAGCAAUGAGAGGCAAAUCCCUCAUUGCAGUGACCGAGAAGCGAUGGGGAGCUUAUAGUCUUCGGGUUAUGAGCAACGGUGGUGCGCCUGUGCAGUCAAGAAAUGCCCGCUAGGGAGGUAUGUAUGUGACCGUACCGCAAUCCGACACAGGUAGGUAGGUUGAGGAAACUAAGGUGGACGAGUGAUCCCUGGUUAAGGAACUCGGCAAAUUGACCCCGUACCUUCGGAAGAAGGGGUGCUGCGAACGUGUGAAACCACUUGCUGGUGGAGCACGGGGCAGCCGCAGGACCAGGCCCAGGCGACUGGAUAACAGAACCACAGCUCCCUGCUUAAGCCGUAAGGCGACGUAUAGGGGGUGAUGCCUGCCCAGUGCUGGAAGGUUAAGGGGAGGUGUGCAAGCACUGAACCGAAGCCCCAGUGAACGGCGGCUGUAACUAUAACAGUCCUAAGGUAGCGAAAUUCCUUGUCGGGUAAGUUCCGACCCGCACGAAAGGCAUCACGAUCUGGGCACUGUCUCGACCAGGGGCUCGGUGAAAUUGCAGGGGCCGUGAAGAUGCGGCCAACGCGUAGCAGGACAAAAAGACCCCGUGGAGCUUUACUACAACUUGCCAUCGGAUAAGUGUAUUGCAUGCGUAGGAUAGGUGGGAGGCUGGGAACUUCGGCUUGCGGGCCGGGGGGAGCCAACGGUGAAAUACCACUCUUGCCUUACACUCAUCCUCACCCGCUGCGGCGGGGACGGUGGCUGGUGGGUAGUUUGACUGGGGCGGUCGCCUCCCAAAAGGUAACGGAGGCGCGCAACGGUGCCCUCAGGUGGGAUGGCAAUCCACCGUGGAGUGUAACGGCAGAAGGGCGCUUGACUGCAAGACCAACACGUCGCGCAGGGACGAAAGUCGGCCGUAGUGAUCCCACAGUACCGCGUGGAAGGGCUGUGGCUUAACGGAUAAAAGCUACCCCGGGGAUAACAGGCUCAGACCUCCCAAGAGUUCAUAUCGACGGAGGAGCGUGGCACCUCGAUGUCGGCUCGUCGCAUCCUGGGGCUGGAGUAGGUCCCAAGGGUUGGGCUGUUCGCCCAUUAAAGCGGCACGCGAGCUGGGUUCAGAACGUCGUGAGACAGUUCGGUCUCUAUCCGCUAUGAGCGUUUAGAGCAUUGAGGGGGGCUGGCCCUAGUACGAGAGGACCGGGCUGGACGAACCGCUAGUGGAGGAGUUGUGGGACGACCUGCAGGCUCCGUAGCUAUGUUCGGAAACACAAACCGCUGAAAGCAUCUAAGUGGGAAGUGUGCCUCAAGAUAAAUGCUCUCACUGUUUUAGACAGGUAAGACUCCCAGCAGACUACUGGGUUAAGCGGACUGCGCUGUAAGCAUCGUGAGAUGUUCAGGCGACAGUUGCGCACAGUCGAGGGCUUC